This 2921-nucleotide ribosomal RNA is filed under the name Staphylococcus aureus M0239. Its description in RNAcentral is "bacterial LSU rRNA". It matches the Rfam family "Bacterial large subunit ribosomal RNA". The record is from RNAcentral. Lineage: Bacteria; Bacillati; Bacillota; Bacilli; Caryophanales; Staphylococcaceae.
UUAAGUUAUUAAGGGCGCACGGUGGAUGCCUUGGCACUAGAAGCCGAUGAAGGACGUUACUAACGACGAUAUGCUUUGGGGAGCUGUAAGUAAGCUUUGAUCCAGAGAUUUCCGAAUGGGGAAACCCAGCAUGAGUUAUGUCAUGUUAUCGAUAUGUGAAUACAUAGCAUAUCAGAAGGCACACCCGGAGAACUGAAACAUCUUAGUACCCGGAGGAAGAGAAAGAAAAUUCGAUUCCCUUAGUAGCGGCGAGCGAAAUGGGAAGAGCCCAAACCAACAAGCUUGCUUGUUGGGGUUGUAGGACACUCUAUACGGAGUUACAAAGGACGACAUUAGACGAAUCAUCUGGAAAGAUGAAUCAAAGAAGGUAAUAAUCCUGUAGUCGAAAAUGUUGUCUCUCUUGAGUGGAUCCUGAGUACGACGGAGCACGUGAAAUUCCGUCGGAAUCUGGGAGGACCAUCUCCUAAGGCUAAAUACUCUCUAGUGACCGAUAGUGAACCAGUACCGUGAGGGAAAGGUGAAAAGCACCCCGGAAGGGGAGUGAAAUAGAACCUGAAACCGUGUGCUUACAAGUAGUCAGAGCCCGUUAAUGGGUGAUGGCGUGCCUUUUGUAGAAUGAACCGGCGAGUUACGAUUUGAUGCAAGGUUAAGCAGUAAAUGUGGAGCCGUAGCGAAAGCGAGUCUGAAUAGGGCGUUUAGUAUUUGGUCGUAGACCCGAAACCAGGUGAUCUACCCUUGGUCAGGUUGAAGUUCAGGUAACACUGAAUGGAGGACCGAACCGACUUACGUUGAAAAGUGAGCGGAUGAACUGAGGGUAGCGGAGAAAUUCCAAUCGAACCUGGAGAUAGCUGGUUCUCUCCGAAAUAGCUUUAGGGCUAGCCUCAAGUGAUGAUUAUUGGAGGUAGAGCACUGUUUGGACGAGGGGCCCCUCUCGGGUUACCGAAUUCAGACAAACUCCGAAUGCCAAUUAAUUUAACUUGGGAGUCAGAACAUGGGUGAUAAGGUCCGUGUUCGAAAGGGAAACAGCCCAGACCACCAGCUAAGGUCCCAAAAUAUAUGUUAAGUGGAAAAGGAUGUGGCGUUGCCCAGACAACUAGGAUGUUGGCUUAGAAGCAGCCAUCAUUUAAAGAGUGCGUAAUAGCUCACUAGUCGAGUGACACUGCGCCGAAAAUGUACCGGGGCUAAACAUAUUACCGAAGCUGUGGAUUGUCCUUUGGACAAUGGUAGGAGAGCGUUCUAAGGGCGUUGAAGCAUGAUCGUAAGGACAUGUGGAGCGCUUAGAAGUGAGAAUGCCGGUGUGAGUAGCGAAAGACGGGUGAGAAUCCCGUCCACCGAUUGACUAAGGUUUCCAGAGGAAGGCUCGUCCGCUCUGGGUUAGUCGGGUCCUAAGCUGAGGCCGACAGGCGUAGGCGAUGGAUAACAGGUUGAUAUUCCUGUACCACCUAUAAUCGUUUUAAUCGAUGGGGGGACGCAGUAGGAUAGGCGAAGCGUGCGAUUGGAUUGCACGUCUAAGCAGUAAGGCUGAGUAUUAGGCAAAUCCGGUACUCGUUAAGGCUGAGCUGUGAUGGGGAGAAGACAUUGUGUCUUCGAGUCGUUGAUUUCACACUGCCGAGAAAAGCCUCUAGAUAGAAAAUAGGUGCCCGUACCGCAAACCGACACAGGUAGUCAAGAUGAGAAUUCUAAGGUGAGCGAGCGAACUCUCGUUAAGGAACUCGGCAAAAUGACCCCGUAACUUCGGGAGAAGGGGUGCUCUUUAGGGUUAACGCCCAGAAGAGCCGCAGUGAAUAGGCCCAAGCGACUGUUUAUCAAAAACACAGGUCUCUGCUAAACCGUAAGGUGAUGUAUAGGGGCUGACGCCUGCCCGGUGCUGGAAGGUUAAGAGGAGUGGUUAGCUUCUGCGAAGCUACGAAUCGAAGCCCCAGUAAACGGCGGCCGUAACUAUAACGGUCCUAAGGUAGCGAAAUUCCUUGUCGGGUAAGUUCCGACCCGCACGAAAGGCGUAACGAUUUGGGCACUGUCUCAACGAGAGACUCGGUGAAAUCAUAGUACCUGUGAAGAUGCAGGUUACCCGCGACAGGACGGAAAGACCCCGUGGAGCUUUACUGUAGCCUGAUAUUGAAAUUCGGCACAGCUUGUACAGGAUAGGUAGGAGCCUUUGAAACGUGAGCGCUAGCUUACGUGGAGGCGCUGGUGGGAUACUACCCUAGCUGUGUUGGCUUUCUAACCCGCACCACUUAUCGUGGUGGGAGACAGUGUCAGGCGGCCAGUUUGACUGGGGCGGUCGCCUCCUAAAAGGUAACGGAGGCGCUCAAAGGUUCCCUCAGAAUGGUUGGAAAUCAUUCAUAGAGUGUAAAGGCAUAAGGGAGCUUGACUGCGAGACCUACAAGUCGAGCAGGGUCGAAAGACGGACUUAGUGAUCCGGUGGUUCCGCAUGGAAGGGCCAUCGCUCAACGGAUAAAAGCUACCCCGGGGAUAACAGGCUUAUCUCCCCCAAGAGUUCACAUCGACGGGGAGGUUUGGCACCUCGAUGUCGGCUCAUCGCAUCCUGGGGCUGUAGUCGGUCCCAAGGGUUGGGCUGUUCGCCCAUUAAAGCGGUACGCGAGCUGGGUUCAGAACGUCGUGAGACAGUUCGGUCCCUAUCCGUCGUGGGCGUAGGAAAUUUGAGAGGAGCUGUCCUUAGUACGAGAGGACCGGGAUGGACAUACCUCUGGUGUACCAGUUGUCGUGCCAACGGCAUAGCUGGGUAGCUAUGUGUGGACGGGAUAAGUGCUGAAAGCAUCUAAGCAUGAAGCCCCCCUCAAGAUGAGAUUUCCCAACUUCGGUUAUAAGAUCCCUCAAAGAUGAUGAGGUUAAUAGGUUCGAGGUGGAAGCAUGGUGACAUGUGGAGCUGACGAAUACUAAUCGAUCGAAGACUUAAUCAA